CGCGUGUGUCCCUAGCGGAAAAGGAGGGCAGGGAGAAAAAUGUAGCCGUUGGCAGUUGCCACGCUGGGGUGGGGGCGGCAGGACCGAUGCCAGCAGCAGCAGUAGACUGAGCUCAGCUAACGCGAGAAAAGCGGGGCCCGCGAGCUGGCGGCGCGGUGUCAUUGGUGUGGCACGUUCCGAUCCGCUGGCCUGGACGUGUGGUCUCUGCGUCGUGAAGCAUUUUGGACGGUUUGUUCGAGUCCAACGUGCCCGGUCAGCCCAGGCGUUUACCGCGCUCGCAACGGGACAGUGAGAAACCCAGAUUUUUUUUUUGAUAGGGUGAGAAACCGUGAAUUCUUUUUUUGCAAUAAAGAAACAGCGAAUUAGGCA
RNAcentral lists this long non-coding RNA (369 nucleotides) under Brachypodium distachyon (stiff brome). Its description in RNAcentral is "long non-coding RNA (BDIS_LNC001349)". Lineage: Eukaryota; Viridiplantae; Streptophyta; Magnoliopsida; Poales; Poaceae. The record is from RNAcentral.